Molecule: non-coding RNA, 998 nt
Organism: Myodes glareolus (Bank vole)
Lineage: Eukaryota; Metazoa; Chordata; Mammalia; Rodentia; Cricetidae
Source: RefSeq, a predicted model, not a curated record
CCAGUUCUCUUUCUGGGCGCCCUGUGCUAAUCACGUUAAACUGGGAGAAGCAAAGUUCUUCCCACAACUUCAGGUGAAGCUAAAUUGAGCUUUCUCCAAAAAGCCAAGAUGCCUGUGGACAAUCCCUCAGCCUACUCCUUUUCGUUGCACACCUUUCUUCUCUAGGCCUGGAUAAUUGCUUUUAUUUUAUUUAUUUAUUUGUUUAUCUCUCAGGGCCAAUCAACACAAAAUUGAAAGCUGCAUCUGUAAGAAGCCCUAGAGGCAAGGGUUCAGAAAGUAUGGAGCGAAUGUUUGAUACGAUGUGGGGAAGAAGGGAAUGUAUGUGAGCUACUGAAUGCAGAGGGUGAACAAGGGCAGCAUGACCGGUGGGAGGAAAGAACGCGUAAGGAGAACGAAAGCGUUCGUAAGAGUGAGCCUAAAAAACUCUUAAUGCAUCUUAGGCCUUUGGAUUCAGUAGUUUUAAUUGUUCAGAUGCCUGCAGUCAAGGAAGUGAGAAAUGCUCGUAUUUCUAGGUAGGAGUUAAAACAUCCACAGUCCUGCCACAUAAUAGCCUCCCUGCUCCAGUUUGAAAAGCUCUUCAGCGAUGCUUACAUUGUGUUUUUCCUUUUAGCGUGGCCCUCUAUAGACCUACAAGCUAAGCACCACUGCCUUUACAUGAACUCACCUGCCAUGGUUUGAGUGUGGAGGUCAGAAGACAAUUUACAGGAGUUGGUUCUCUCCUUCCACGGCAUGGACCCUGGAGCUCAAACUCAGGCAAUCAUGUUUGGAGGGCCUCAGUCAGCAAAUCGAAGAACAGAACAAGGAAAACUUAAAGUUCAGUAGUUGAUUGAGUAGGAAACCAAGGGCAACAGCCAAUAGAGGUGUGUGCACCAACUACAGAGAGGAAAUAAAUAGGAAUUGCAUGGCAUGGAGGUUCUUGUGCUCACAGAUACUUAGGGGAACGUGGAACAUGAUCAUUAUUUUUCAAGGGAAGGAACGCUACACCUAUUAUCCAUCCA